This 253-nucleotide ribosomal RNA is filed under the name uncultured bacterium. RNAcentral's name for it is "partial 16S ribosomal RNA". It matches the Rfam family "Bacterial small subunit ribosomal RNA", at positions 524 to 776 of the family's 1533-position model. The record is from RNAcentral.
UACAGAGGUCCCAAGCGUUGUUCGGAUUCAUUGGGCGUAAAGGGUGCGUAGGCGGCGCGGUAAGUCGGGUGUGAAAUCUCGGAGCUUAACUCCGAAACUGCAUUCGAUACUGCCGUGCUUGAGGACUGGAGAGGAGACUGGAAUUUACGGUGUAGCGGUGAAAUGCGUAGAUAUCGUAAGGAAGACCAGUGGCGAAGGCAGCACUCUGGGACGUGACUGACGCUGAGACGCGAAAGCGUGGGGAGCAAACAGG